AUGUCCAGACUAGCCAUGCACGUCUAAGUACAAACUAAAUGAUGGUGAAACUGCAAAUGGCUCAUUACCACGGUUAUGAUGUACCCGGGAGUUCCGAUGGAUAUUUCCAGUAACACUAGAACUAAUACAUGUCCCUGCGUUUAUUAGUUUCGCACAGUCCGUCGCUGAGUCAUGGUAAACAGUUGAUCGACUCGACGUCCCGGAACAGUUUCCGCCCCAUCAGCUUCGAUGGUUGGGUAUUGGCCUACCAUUGCAACAACGGGUAACGAGGAAUUAGGGUUUGAUUUCGGAGAGGGAGCCUGAGAAACGGCUACCACAUCUACGGAUGGCAGCAGGCGCGCAAAUUACCCAAUGCAGACACUGUGAGGUAGUGACGAGAAAUAAUAAAGCGGGACUCCUGUUUCGCUAUUAUAAUGAGGAAUAACCAAAGGUCAUUCCGAUUAGCAACUGAUGGGAAAGUCUGGUGCCAGCAGCCGCGGUAAUACCAGCGUCAGUAGCAU
RNAcentral lists this ribosomal RNA (500 nucleotides) under uncultured Myrionecta. Its description in RNAcentral is "SSU rRNA". It matches the Rfam family "Eukaryotic small subunit ribosomal RNA", at positions 34 to 600 of the family's 1831-position model. The record is from RNAcentral. Lineage: Eukaryota; Ciliophora; Litostomatea; Cyclotrichida; Mesodiniidae.